UACGUAGGGUGCAAGCGUUGUCCGGAAUUAUUGGGCGUAAAGAGCGUGUAGGCGGCCCGGUAAGUCCGCUGUAAAAGUCCAGGGCUCAACCCUGGAAAGCCGGUGGAUACUGUCGGGCUAGAGUCCGGAAGAGGCGAGUGGAAUUCCUGGUGUAGCGGUGGAAUGCGCAGAUAUCAGGAGGAACACCGAUGGCGAAGGCAGCUCGCUGGGACGGUACUGACGCUGAGGCGCGAAAGCGUGGGGAGCGAACAGG
RNAcentral lists this ribosomal RNA (253 nucleotides) under uncultured bacterium. RNAcentral describes it as "partial 16S ribosomal RNA". It matches the Rfam family "Bacterial small subunit ribosomal RNA", at positions 524 to 776 of the family's 1533-position model. The record is from RNAcentral.